Molecule: long non-coding RNA, 1375 nt
Filed under: Xyrichtys novacula (pearly razorfish)
Lineage: Eukaryota; Metazoa; Chordata; Actinopteri; Labriformes; Labridae
Source: RNAcentral
CUUUAUUUUCCAUGGUUAGUUCAAUUAUUCAUGUCACUCCUGGGUACAAACCACUACUGAGGCCCUGUUUAGAAGAGAAUGGCCCCAUCAAGAAGGUUUAAGUCUUCACUUUUAGUUCAUGCGCAGUAAGUUUCAAUAGAGCAGAGAAUGCAAGCAAGCAGUAAGACAAUGGCAAACGUAGCAAAACAAUUUGCUGAAAAAGAGUUAACAAAGUCAGUCAGGUCAGGAGCACAAGCGCAGCUCAGUACUCCACCAUUGUUGUUAUUGUCCUCCUACUCGUGCACGGUCAUUUGGCUGUAAUUGUGAUACACAUGCCUGAAUGUCACCAGCAGCUGAGCUGAGCUGAGUCUUUAGCUUUUUCUAAAAAAGUAGAAAGGGACUCUGUUCAUCAAAUGGAGUUUCGUGAAUCAUUCCACCACAGAGGGACAACGAAGGAAAAGAGUCUUGCAAGUGAUUUGGGGCCCGCUGUGAUGGGAGCACCAGGCACCUAUCAUUUGCAAAGUGUAGCAGGCCAGUGCGAGCAAAGACCUGGAUGAGAGAUUCAAGGCAGGUAGGAGCUGCUUUUGUUUAUUUUGUAAACAGGAAGUAGGGUUUUGAAUUUGAGUCAAGCUGCAAGAGGGAGCAAGUGGAUAGAGAUGUGCUGUUUUGAGUUAAGUGAAACCCAGACAGGCUGCUGCAUUUUGGAUCAUCUGCAGAGGCGUGAAUGUGCAUGCAAGAAGGCCUAGUUACUGUAUGAUAUUACAUGAGCCUGCAUCAGUAGCCAUGUUGCAUGCUUUGAUAGGUCUGAUCCUCCUGAUGUUGUAGAGGGUGAACUGGCACGACUGAGCAACUAAGACCACAUGAACGUUGAAAGUUAGCUGGUCAUCAAUCAUGACACCCAGAUCCCAUGUAGGCAAACUUCCCCCAAAUGACAAAAGAGUCAUUUGGUGGUAGUUCUAAAAGAUAAUAUUGCAGCCAUUACAUUAAGCAGUUUUACUGUGGUAAUACCAAAAAUGAUUGAACCUGUAACAAUUAUUUAAGAGUUAUACAGAAAUUUUCUGCCCCUGCUGAGUUUUAUAGAUCGGCCUUGACUGAGUAUGAGAGUAGAGACAUGCAUGAAAUGGGUGAAUGAAGGCAGGUUUUUUAGUGAAAGUGUGUGCUGACAGAAAGGAUGAGAAGACGGGGGUCUAUGUGUGUGUGUCAGAGAUAGUGUGAAGGCUCCUCCACACUCACUGCAUCAACAGAAUGACUGAAGCUUGCACAAUGUGUCUGUCACCACCAAAAAGCCCUCUGACAUUCUGGGAACAGCAUGUUGGCCUGCAGUUGCUCCCUGGAAUCAAAGUCUCAUCUGCACUUGUCUAGCUCCCACAGCACAGAGUUAACAACUGACCUGACG